Molecule: unclassified non-coding RNA, 376 nt
Filed under: soil metagenome
Description: partial contains 5.8S ribosomal RNA, internal transcribed spacer 2, and large subunit ribosomal RNA
Rfam family: 5.8S ribosomal RNA (bases 1-120)
Source: RNAcentral
GAUGAAGAACGUAGCGAAAUGCGAUAAGUAAUGUGAAUUGCAGAAUUCAGUGAAUCAUCGAAUCUUUGAACGCAUCUUGCGCUCCUUGGUAUUCUGAGGAGCAUGCCUGUUUGAGUGUCAUUAAAUUCUCAACUACACUGACUUUGAAUUGGUGUGGCUUGGAUUUGGGGGGAAAAUUGUUGUGGGCUUUUUGUAUAGUCUGCUCCCCUGAAAUUGAUUAGCGGUACCUUUGUGGAACUGUCUACAGGUGUGAUAAUUAUCUACAUCUUAUACAUCUGCUGGAAUGCUGCUUUCUAAACCUUACUUGUAUUGACAAUCUUGACCUCAAAUCAGGUAGGACUACCCGCUGAACUUAAGCAUAUCAAUAAGCGGAGGA